RNAcentral lists this ribosomal RNA (433 nucleotides) under uncultured bacterium. RNAcentral's name for it is "partial 16S ribosomal RNA". It matches the Rfam family "Bacterial small subunit ribosomal RNA", at positions 29 to 507 of the family's 1533-position model. The record is from RNAcentral.
AACGAACGCUGGCGGCAUGCCUAACGCAUGCAAGUCGAACGAGAACUUCGGGUCUAGUGGCGCACGGGUGCGUAACGCGUGGGAACCUGCCCUUAGGUUCGGAAUAACUCCCCGAAAGGGGUGCUAAUACCGGAUAAUGUCUUCGGACCAAAGAUUUAUCGCCCUUGGAUGGGCCCGCGUUGGAUUAGCUAGUUGGUAGGGUAAAAGCCUACCAAGGCGACGAGCCAUAGCUGGUCUGAGAGGAAGCUCCGCCACACGGGGACUGAGACACGGCCCAGACUCCUACGGGAGGCAGCAGUGGGGAAUAUUGGACUAUGGGCGAAAGCCUGAUCCAGCAACGCCGCGUGAGUGAUGAAGGCCUUAGGGUUGUAAAGCUCUUUUACCCGGGAUGAUAAUGACAGUACCGGGAGAAUAAGCUCCGGCUAACUCCGUG